CCAACGGCCCUCUUUAGGGCCACAAUCAUUCAAAUAAUCCAAAAU
RNAcentral lists this non-coding RNA (45 nucleotides) under Caenorhabditis brenneri. RNAcentral's name for it is "sRNA CBN34271". It matches the Rfam family "Histone 3' UTR stem-loop". From Rfam's summary of the family: The mRNAs of metazoan histone genes lack a poly-A tail. 3' end processing occurs at a site between a highly conserved stem-loop (modelled by this family) and a purine rich region around 20 nts downstream (the histone downstream element, or HDE). The record is from RNAcentral. Lineage: Eukaryota; Metazoa; Nematoda; Chromadorea; Rhabditida; Rhabditidae.